RNAcentral lists this ribosomal RNA (1231 nucleotides) under Cryobacterium psychrotolerans. RNAcentral describes it as "bacterial SSU rRNA". It matches the Rfam family "Bacterial small subunit ribosomal RNA", at positions 1 to 1248 of the family's 1533-position model. Lineage: Bacteria; Bacillati; Actinomycetota; Actinomycetes; Micrococcales; Microbacteriaceae. The record is from RNAcentral.
CCAGAGUUUGAUCAUGGCUCAGGACGAACGCUGGCGGCGUGCUUAACACAUGCAAGUCGAACGGUGAUGAGGAGCUUGCUUCUCUGAUCAGUGGCGAACGGGUGAGUAACACGUGAGCAAUCUGCCCUUGACUCUGGGAUAAGCGUUGGAAACGACGUAUAAUACCGGAUACGACCUUUGGAGGCAUCUCUGGGGGUGGAAAGAAUUUUGGUCAAGGAUGAGCUCGCGGCCUAUCAGCUAGUUGGUGAGGUAAUGGCUCACCAAGGCGACGACGGGUAGCCGGCCUGAGAGGGUGACCGGCCACACUGGGACUGAGACACGGCCCAGACUCCUACGGGAGGCAGCAGUGGGGAAUAUUGCACAAUGGGCGAAAGCCUGAUGCAGCAACGCCGCGUGAGGGACGACGGCCUUCGGGUUGUAAACCUCUUUUAGUAGGGAAGAAGCGUAAAAGUGACGGUACCUGCAGAAAAAGCACCGGCUAACUACGUGCCAGCAGCCGCGGUAAUACGUAGGGUGCAAGCGUUGUCCGGAAUUAUUGGGCGUAAAGAGCUCGUAGGCGGUUUGUCGCGUCUGCUGUGAAAACUCGAGGCUCAACCUCGGGCCUGCAGUGGGUACGGGCAGACUAGAGUGCGGUAGGGGAGAUUGGAAUUCCUGGUGUAGCGGUGGAAUGCGCAGAUAUCAGGAGGAACACCAAUGGCGAAGGCAGAUCUCUGGGCCGUAACUGACGCUGAGGAGCGAAAGCAUGGGGAGCGAACAGGAUUAGAUACCCUGGUAGUCCAUGCCGUAAACGUUGGGAACUAGAUGUGGGGACCAUUCCACGGUCUCCGUGUCGCAGCUAACGCAUUAAGUUCCCCGCCUGGGGAGUACGGCCGCAAGGCUAAAACUCAAAGGAAUUGACGGGGGCCCGCACAAGCGGCGGAGCAUGCGGAUUAAUUCGAUGCAACGCGAAGAACCUUACCAAGGCUUGACAUAUAGAUGUGAAACGGUUGGAAACAAUCGCCCCGCAAGGUCUCUAUACAGGUGGUGCAUGGUUGUCGUCAGCUCGUGUCGUGAGAUGUUGGGUUAAGUCCCGCAACGAGCGCAACCCUCGUCCUAUGUUGCCAGCACGUAAUGGUGGGAACUCAUGGGAUACUGCCGGGGUCAACUCGGAGGAAGGUGGGGAUGACGUCAAAUCAUCAUGCCCCUUAUGUCUUGGGCUUCACGCAUGCUACAAUGGCCGGUACAAAGGGCU